UAAUGAGUGUAGUUCUUGCAUUGACCGUUAUGAGUCGGUCUUUAACACUAUUAUGCACUUCAAAAUUUUGCAUGAGAUUAAUAUCUUCUAGUGAUGACAUAAGUUUGUGUGAAAAUAUACAUGUACAUAAAUUUAAAACCAAACCAGCAAAGUGGAAAGCUAGAUGAGAAGAAUUAAGUGUGCUGGACACAGUGGUCAAUUUCAUACAGGGACGUUUCAAUCUUUGCAAGUUCUCUGCAAAAACCAAAAAAAUUAAAAUAUAUUCCUCAUGUAACAGUAUAAAAAAAUAAAUGGUUGGUGCCCUGGUUUGGCACCUCACCUUACAUUAAGGAAACACAAUAUUAAAGAGAACUAGAAAUUUUGAUUCCACCGUGGGAAUUUUAACCUUCAAGUUGUAGCCUUGUAGCCAGGGUAAAUGCACCAUCUUGGUUGCAAAUUGAACUACAUAUUCUCGAAGGAAAGUAGUUGUGAUGUCAGUUCAUCCUAUAUGUUGGCUAUAUCUUAUGCUACCAGUCUGGUUCUCUUAUCUUUAGUUACUAUUUUGAACAGGGG
RNAcentral lists this long non-coding RNA (552 nucleotides) under Daucus carota (carrot). RNAcentral's name for it is "long non-coding RNA (DCAR_LNC001275)". The record is from RNAcentral. Lineage: Eukaryota; Viridiplantae; Streptophyta; Magnoliopsida; Apiales; Apiaceae.